UAAAAAAGAGUCUGCGGUGCUACACA
This 26-nucleotide non-coding RNA is filed under the name Homo sapiens (human). Lineage: Eukaryota; Metazoa; Chordata; Mammalia; Primates; Hominidae. The record is from RNAcentral.